GUCUUGUUCCGGUGUUGAUGUUCUGUGCGUUGUUGGACACAUGAAGCCACUUUCCUGAAACCAGGACUGACACAAGUCCACAGCGGCCCGCGGCGUGUAUGUCCGAGCCUGUCUCCAGCGCCUCCACCGGCAGGUUGUCAGCUGUGUGGUUUUGAUUAAAAGGGA
Etheostoma cragini (Arkansas darter) is the source of this 165-nucleotide long non-coding RNA. RefSeq lists it as uncharacterized. The record is from RefSeq and is a predicted model, not a curated record. The transcript is spliced from 3 exons. Lineage: Eukaryota; Metazoa; Chordata; Actinopteri; Perciformes; Percidae.